This 341-nucleotide unclassified non-coding RNA is filed under the name soil metagenome. Its description in RNAcentral is "partial contains 5.8S ribosomal RNA, internal transcribed spacer 2, and large subunit ribosomal RNA". The stretch from base 1 to 119 matches the Rfam family "5.8S ribosomal RNA", at positions 36 to 154 of the family's 154-position model. The record is from RNAcentral.
AUGAAGAACGCAGCGAAAUGCGAUAAGUAGUGUGAAUUGCAGAAUUCAGUGAAUCAUCGAAUCUUUGAACGCACAUUGCGCCCUUUGGUAUUCCAAAGGGCAUGCCUGUUCGAGCGUCAUUUGUACCCUCAAGCUUUGCUUGGUGUUGAGCGUCUUGUCUCUAGCUUUGCUGGAGACUCGCCUUAAAGUAAUUGGCAGCCGGCCUACUGGUUUCGGAGCGCAGCACAAGUCGCACUCUCUAUCAGCAAAGGUCUAGCAUCCAUUAAGCCUUUUUUUUCAACUUUUGACCUCGGAUCAGGUAGGGAUACCCGCUGAACUUAAGCAUAUCAAUAAGCGGAGGA